This 630-nucleotide ribosomal RNA is filed under the name uncultured bacterium. RNAcentral describes it as "bacterial SSU rRNA". It matches the Rfam family "Bacterial small subunit ribosomal RNA", at positions 202 to 833 of the family's 1533-position model. The record is from RNAcentral.
UAAAGAAUUUCGGUAUGGGAUGGGGAUGCGUUCCAUUAGUUAGUUGGCGGGGUAACGGCCCACCAAGACAACGAUGGAUAGGGGUUCUGAGAGGAAGGUCCCCCACAUUGGAACUGAGACACGGUCCAAACUCCUACGGGAGGCAGCAGUGAGGAAUAUUGGUCAAUGGACGAGAGUCUGAACCAGCCAAGUAGCGUGAAGGAUGACUGCCCUAUGGGUUGUAAACUUCUUUUAUAUGGGAAUAAAACGUUCCACGUGUGGGAUUUUGUAUGUACCAUAUGAAUAAGGAUCGGCUAACUCCGUGCCAGCAGCCGCGGUAAUACGGAGGAUCCGAGCGUUAUCCGGAUUUAUUGGGUUUAAAGGGAGCGUAGGUGGAUUGUUAAGUCAGUUGUGAAAGUUUGCGGCUCAACCGUAAAAUUGCAGUUGAAACUGGCAGUCUUGAGUACAGUAGAGGUGGGCGGAAUUCGUGGUGUAGCGGUGAAAUGCUUAGAUAUCACGAAGAACUCCGAUUGCGAAGGCAGCUCACUGGACUGCAACUGACACUGAGGCUCGAAAGUGUGGGUAUCAAACAGGAUUAGAUACCCUGGUAGUCCACACAGUAAACGAUGAAUACUCGCUGUUUGCGAUAUA